CCUUCACUAUGGAAUAGCCUCGGGAAACUGAGAGUAAUACCAUAUACGCCCUUCGGGGGAAAGAUUUAUCGGUGAAGGAUUAGCCCGCGUAAGAUUAGAUAGUUGGUGGGGUAAUGGCCUACCAAGUCUACGAUCUUUAGCUGGUUUGAGAGGAUGAUCAGCAACACUGGGACUGAGACACGGCCCAGACUCCUACGGGAGGCAGCAGUGGGGAAUCUUAGACAAUGGGCGCAAGCCUGAUCUAGCCAUGCCGCGUGAGUGACGAAGGUCUUAGGAUCGUAAAGCUCUUUCGCCAGAGAUGAUAAUGACAGUAUCUGGUAAAGAAACCCCGGCUAACUCCGUGCCAGCAGCCGCGGUAAUACGGAGGGGGUUAGCGUUGUUCGGAAUUACUGGGCGUAAAGCGUACGUAGGCGGAUUGGAAAGUAGGGGGUGAAAUCCCAGGGCUCAACCCUGGAACUGCCUCCUAAACUAUCAGUCUAGAGUUCGAGAGAGGUGAGUGGAAUUCCAAGUGUAGAGGUGAAAUUCGUAGAUAUUUGGAGGAACACCAGUGGCGAAGGCGGCUCACUGGCUCGAUACUGACGCUGAGGUACGAAAGUGUGGGGAGCAAACAGGAUUAGAUACCCUGGUAGUCCACACCGUAAACGAUGAAUGCCAGUCGUCGGGGAGCUUGCUCUUCGGUGACACACCUAACGGAUUAAGCAUUUCCGCCUGGGGAGUACGGUCGCAAGAUUAAAACUCAAAGGAAUUGACGGGGGCCCGCACAAGCGGUGGAGCAUGUGGUUUAAUUUCGACGCAACGCGCAGAACCUUACCAACCCUUGACAUCCUUGGACCGCUAGAGAGAUCUAGUUUUCUCGUAAGAGACCAAGUGACAGGUGCUGCAUGGCUGUCGUCAGCUCGU
RNAcentral lists this ribosomal RNA (900 nucleotides) under Antarctic seawater bacterium COL-50. Its description in RNAcentral is "bacterial SSU rRNA". It matches the Rfam family "Bacterial small subunit ribosomal RNA", at positions 130 to 1063 of the family's 1533-position model. The record is from RNAcentral.